GAUGGUAACUGUUAGUAUGAAAGAGUUUCUAUGUAUUUUUUUGCUAUGGUAUAUUUUUCCAUAGGCGGGGUUUUUAUGUGGUUAAAUACAGUACGGUACACUAGUACCAGUGAUAGACAUAUCACAGUAGGGGAAAUACGGUAAAUUAUGUGGGGUUUUCACCUGGGAGAGUGGGAGCCAAUCAGAAUUUACCUUGGCCGUCACUGCGCUCCGAGUCACACACAGAGCAGCAAGGCAUGGCGCAGCACCUGACGCUGUCUGCGUCCGUAAAACCUCAAGCUAUGGCGUAGGAACAGGUUUAUAGAACUUCCCAGGGUUCGAGUGAUGGGGACCAUGCAGUUGGGGUCCUGUGGCCAGUGUGGGGACGGGAUAACACGAGAGUGACGGCACCCAGGCCAUUUCAACUUCCACCUACAUCCUUCGUCACGGCUGCUCGUCACGGACUCUUCUCAGACGGCUCAGACGCUUCGUGAAGACGUCACAGACAGUCACGCCACGACAGGGAUGAGGAAGGGCCUGGACACUUCAACGACUCCUGAGGAACCCCUAUGACUUCAGAGACAGGGUGAAUCUACAUCACAGCCCUCUGCUACGUCUAUAUGAACAUUCGUGUACUUAAGUAUUGUGUUAACAUUUAAAUAGGACAUUGAUGUGGCCUACACCUACAUGUAGUUGUGACACUACAGAACUGUGCUUAUACCCCCAGUGGGGUAACUAGUGGAACUAACUAUUAAGCUUAGUUGUGUGAAUACUUCAUGACCAAAGCCUUAUAUUUCAGGAACUUUACAUAAUUAGAACAUUGUUUACUUUCUAGUCUUGGAUACAAAACUUAUUACUAUGUAGGGUGUGACAGGGAUACUCGAGUCUAGUCAUGAGAGUGUAUGUUGAUGCUGUGUGGUAAUCAGUAUGCAAUAGAGCGUUUGAUCCUAGUGCGAUUACCACCAGGUAAUAGUUCCUUUUACAGAGAGAAACUCAAUCGUUAUCACUUGUGUAGAUUCUGUACACAUAUAUAUAGUGAAUUGUUAAUACAUUUGUUGAAUUUA
Mizuhopecten yessoensis (Yesso scallop) is the source of this 1043-nucleotide long non-coding RNA. RefSeq lists it as uncharacterized. The record is from RefSeq and is a predicted model, not a curated record. NCBI's taxonomy places the organism in Eukaryota, Metazoa, Mollusca, Bivalvia, Pectinida, Pectinidae. The transcript has 2 exons.